RNAcentral lists this long non-coding RNA (4003 nucleotides) under Homo sapiens (human). Its description in RNAcentral is "PREDICTED lncRNA (TCONS_00116428)". The record is from RNAcentral. Lineage: Eukaryota; Metazoa; Chordata; Mammalia; Primates; Hominidae.
CACAGAUGUAUCAACUACACUCAACUAAUGUAGUUAAAGUUAGUGUGCUAAAAAAAAAAAUUAGUGUGCUAUUCAGGAUGCUACAGAUUUAGCAAAAUUCUAACCUGGAUCAGAGGAGUGAAAUGCCCCGUGAAUUGAGGCAACUGUAGAUAUUCGAAAUGCUUCUAAAAAGGCUGUGAGGUUAUGUCCUUUACUGCAUGUCAUUGGUAGGUCAUCUCAAAAUGGCACUCGAGCUUUGGAAGGGUGAGAACUAUUGCUAGAUUUGGUAGGGGGUCUGCAUCUAUGGGCCCGAGUCCUCCAUCUCCACAAGCUGCCCCUCAGUGGGGAAGAGGAGGGGGAGGCUAAGGGAGUCUCCGUAACGUUUGUGGGCAGCAGGGAAGAGAACAUGGCAGAGAUUCCUCACCGCUGGAUGGCUUGUCCCCUGGGGAUGUGUGUUUUUAUCUAACACCCACCUGCAUCUACUUGGGUUGGUCUCUACAAAAGCUGUAAAACAAAAACUGAAUGAAAAAGGAAAAUAAAAGACUAAUAUUUUUGAAAUGAGAAGGGGCUAGGACAAGAGAAGCUCCUGAGAAUGUUAUCCCCGCAGGGCGGGGGCCAUGGGUUACCAUCAGACAAGGAAAAUUCAAUCCAUGUUCAAUGCAGAGAACAGCGACUUCUCACCUUGAAAAACUCUCCAACUCUACUGGGGCUUGCAUUUUGCAGCUGUCUUUCAUGUAAAAAUGAUACAUUAAAAAAAGGAUCUUCAGAACAACUGAAGAAUUUUAAAUGACUACUGGCUGAGGGAAGAUGGAAAGAAAUGUGGCUGUUGUGGUCUUUGAAAUCCUCAGGACAGAAACUGGGAAUGGCACACUCUGCUGAGUAUAGAAAAAAUAAGAUGCUGACCUUGUUUUCCUGCCAACUUUCCACCUUCACCUGGUGCUCUGAGCUCUGUUAAAAACAGACCUAAAAACCCUACCCCUUGGCCUAGCUGGGUUGGGGACUGCCUCCCCCAGGUCCUGCACCUCCACACGCCAGCGGAUGGCUUGGGGGAGCCCUACUAGCUGCUGUGCUAGAAGGCCUAUUCCUGGACUCCUGAGGCCAUCAGUCACAGUUCCAGGACCCCAGCAGAACCUUCCCUUCCCCAAAACACCACCUGUAUUUCUUUUUUUUGUGUGUGUGUGUGACAGGGUCUUGCUCUUUGGCCCAGGCCAGAGUGCAGUGGCACAAACACAGCUUACUGCAGCCUCAAACUCCUGGGCUCAAGUGAUGCUCCCACCUCAGCCUCCCAAGCAGCUGAGAUUACAGGUGCCUAUCAUUGUACCCAGCUAAUUAAAAAACAAAAUUUUGGGCCAGGCGCGGUGGCUUACCCCUGUAGUCCCAGCACUUUGGGAGGUUGAGGCAGGCUUAUCACUUGAGGUCAGGAGUUCAAGACCAGCCUGGCCAACAUGGUGAAACUGUUUCUACUAAAAAUACAAAAAUAUGCCAGGCAUGGUGGCAUGUGCCUAUAAUCCCAGCUACUUAGGAGGCUAAGGCAGGAGAAUCUCUUGAACCUGGGAGGCGGAAGUUGUAAUAAGCCAAGAUCACACUACUCUAGCCUGGAGGUCUUGCCAUGUUGCCCAGGCUGGUCUCAAACUCCUGGGCUCAAGCAAUCCUCCCACCUCAGCCUCCCAAAGUGCUGGGAUUAUAGGCAUGAGCCACCAUGCCUGACCACCAUGUGUAUUUCUAUGGACAGGACAUGGCAUUCCUCUUCUACAUGCACACCACUGGCAAAUAAAAAAAAAAAAAAUGGUAGUCGGGGAAACUCCUGGAGUUGUAAAAAUAAAUUGUACAUGGCCUUUCAUGUUUCUUUCCUUCUUUUUAACCUAAAGAGAGCAGGAUACAGACAAAAAUGGGGGAGUUUGGCCACAGUCAUUGGCAACUUGGGCUCCCAGUGGAGAGGGGCUGGUAUGGCCCCAGCGGGGAGGGAGGGACACCGCAACGCCAUUGCUCAGAGCUGGUUCUAGAUGAUUUACACGUAAUCACUCAAAAUAGAGCCAAUCACAGGCCAGGUGUGGUGGCUCACUCCUGAGUGAGCUGAAAUCGCGCCACUGGCACUCCAGCCUGGGCGACAGAGCAAGACUCUGUCUCAAAAAAAAAAACAAACAAACAACAACAAAAAAAACACAAAAAAACAGCCGGGCUCAGUGGCUCAUGCCUGUAAUCCCAGCACUUUGGGAGGCUGAGGCAGGCAGAUCACCUUGCCAUCAGGAGUUCGAGACCAGCCGGGCCAACAUGGUGAAACCCCCUCUUUACUAAAAAUACAAAAACAUUAGCUGGGUGUGGUGAUGGGCACCUGUAAUCCCAGCCACAUGGGAGGCUGAGGCAGGAGAAUCGCUUAAACACGGGCGGCGGAGGUUGCAGUGAGCUGAGACGGUGCUAUUGCCCUCCAGCCUGGGCAAUAAGGAUGAAACUCCAUCUCAAAAUAAAUAAGUAAAAAUAAAAAACAGAACCAAUCACAGAAAACACCCACUCCCACUCCGGGUAUCCCAAGACAGCAACUGCCUCCCCACAUAAAACCCUGGACUAAUUCCAGCUUAAAUCUAACAACCAACAGCUCAACUCAACUACUUGGGAUAUUACUUUCCCCCACUUUAAUGGUGGGCAAAGAAGAAGUACAGGGUUAAUAAAAAAAAAAUGCUUCAAACAAGUGCCUGAAUCAGCAGAAGUAGUAACUUUCAGGUUGAAUUGGUUCUAUGUGUCGAGUUUCAUUUAAAUACAAAGGCAUGGGUGAUGUAAUGACCAUCGCCCAACAGCUGCUCAGGAGCUCCCGCAGGCUGCCUGCCUUGUGGCUGCCAGGGGAAGGUGUCCACCCCUCAGUGGUUCUCCAAGCAGCUGUGCUUCAGUCGCCUAAAGAACUUACAAAACAUGUGAACUGCAUCUCUGGUCCCAUUCCAGACAUUCUGAAGUUAACCAACUAGGGCAGCCAAGAGUGUUUUCAAAAGGGUCCACUGUAGGUUCUGAUGCAGAGCUGCAGCUGGGAUGCACUAACAGGGGGGCGGAGUUCUUGUCUCAAGGUGGCUUGAGAAUCAGGGAUCUGCUGACCCGUGCAGCCCAGUUGCCACCUCUGCAAAGGUCUGGCUUGGAGGAAGGGACUGAGCUCCUACCUCUCCAGGAAUGGUAAGGGGCUGGACCUGCAGCCUCUAGAACCUGGCUCUGAACCAGUGGCUCAGAUCAGCAAUCAGAGAUGUACUUUGAAUAGUAAUGGCAGUCACUGUCAUUCUCGGUGACUCACUGGAAGGAUGAUCCUUUGUUGGAGGGGCGCUAACACGCUAUUUGGCACUUAAAACAGCAAGGGAUGGGCAUUACCCAUUUCCCUCAAACAACUGUGUGAGCCACGCCCUCACUCGCUGUGUAGUGCACACAGAUCCGCCCAGAAGAACACGGCAGAGCCACCAGAUGGGCACUCGGGCCGGACUGAGCACUUCUGAGGGACUGGGGCACCGCUGGGGAGGGCUCUGCUGCCACUUAAGGUGACCAGUAGGAUGCUGGGGCAACUGCAUUCUUCUUUGUUAGUUAUAAAUGUGCCCUCACCGCCCACCCCUAAGGGCUUUUCCCAUGCCGAUGAAAGAGGCCUGGGGAAGCACUAAAGGCCAAAUCAGUCCAGAGCCGAAAUACUGUUGGGAUUUGCUGUCAGCCCAGCAUCCCCAGAGGCACACACCCUCAGCCUGCUCAACCCUGUAAAGCAGACACAGGCCAUUCACACAUGUGACCUCCUGUCAAGUUCUGUGGGGUACAAGCCUGUGUGGAUGUGAACGGGAGGGUAAACGAAUGGGAGGACAAAGGCGCAGGUGACGAGGACUGCGGUUUCCCUACUGUGAAAGCCGCGAGCUGCUCAGGAGCACACAGACUUUGGUGGCAGAGGUGUGGGGCACCUCCCAGGGACUCCAGCAAAGCAGCCAGGGGCUCCCUUGCAUUCUCACAGGCUUUCCUUUUGCUACAAUAAAUCAAAUAAGGGAUGGUGAGAGCUAAAAGUGAAUCAAGUUCC